UUAGGACUAGUUUGGGAGACACAA
RNAcentral lists this microRNA (24 nucleotides) under Zea mays. RNAcentral describes it as "microRNA miR-3146". The record is from RNAcentral. Lineage: Eukaryota; Viridiplantae; Streptophyta; Magnoliopsida; Poales; Poaceae.